GUGCCAGCCGCCGCGGUAAUACGAAGGGGGCUAGCGUUGUUCGGAAUUACUGGGCGUAAAGCGUGCGCAGGCGGCUUCUCAAGUCAGGGGUGAAAGCCCAGAGCUCAACUCUGGAAUUGCCUUUGAGACUGAGUGGCUUGAGUACGAGAGAGGUGAGUGGAAUUCCCAGUGUAGAGGUGAAAUUCGUAGAUAUUGGGAAGAACACCGGUGGCGAAGGCGGCUCACUGGCUCGUAACUGACGCUCAUGCACGACAGCGUGGGGAUCAAACAGGAUUAGAUACCCCGGUAGUCC
Molecule: ribosomal RNA, 292 nt
Filed under: uncultured bacterium
Lineage: Bacteria
Description: partial 16S ribosomal RNA
Rfam family: Bacterial small subunit ribosomal RNA
Source: RNAcentral